This 443-nucleotide ribosomal RNA is filed under the name uncultured bacterium. Its description in RNAcentral is "partial 16S ribosomal RNA". It matches the Rfam family "Bacterial small subunit ribosomal RNA", at positions 338 to 795 of the family's 1533-position model. The record is from RNAcentral.
CCUACGGGAGGCAGCAGUGGGGAAUAUUGGACAAUGGGGGGAACCCUGAUCCAGCGACGCCGCGUGAGUGAAGAAGUAUUUCGGUAUGUAAAGCUCUAUCAGCAGGGAAGAAAGAAAUGACGGUACCUGACUAAGAAGCCCCGGCUAACUACGUGCCAGCAGCCGCGGUAAUACGUAGGAGGCAAGCGUUAUCCGGAAUGACUGGGCGUAAAGGGUGCGUAGGUGGUUUGAUAAGUUGGUAGCGUAACUCCGAGGCUCAACCUCGGCACUACUACCAAAACUGUCGGACUUGAGUGCAGGAGGGGCAACUGGAAUUCCUAGUGUAGCGGUGGAAUGCGUAGAUAUUAGGAGGAACACCAGUGGCGAAGGCGAGUUGCUGGACUGUAACUGACACUGAGGCACGAAAGCGUGGGGAGCAAACAGGAUUAGAUACCCGGGUAGUC